Long non-coding RNA from Diachasmimorpha longicaudata, 1524 nucleotides. RefSeq lists it as uncharacterized. The record is from RefSeq and is a predicted model, not a curated record. Lineage: Eukaryota; Metazoa; Arthropoda; Insecta; Hymenoptera; Braconidae. The transcript is spliced from 2 exons.
CAGGUGGUGGCUGCUGCUGUAACUGGGACUGAGGGGGUUGAGACUGAAAAUUCGAAGGUCCACCGUAUGGGAAUUGAGUCGCUGUUACUCCCUUCACAAUCGGUCUGCCAACUGUUGAUAAGAUGAAUUAUCAUUAUGUGAAAUGAUUGUCUACUUUGAUAGUCGAAUAUUAAAGUAAUCAAUGGGACUGCAAAGAGAACACUUUUCGUACCCGGAUGCGGUUUAACUGGCUGAUUCGACCAAGUAGGCUGCUGAUUCGGUUGUGGUCUUACUGUGCCCUGUUGCGGCUGUCUCGAUAAGCCUUGAGUUAACAAUUGCACUGCAGACUGCAUCUGCUGCAUCUGGCUCGCCUGAGAUUGUGCUGCCAAUUUUGAUACCUCUGUGUUUCCUACAUUCAAAGAUUAUUAUUUUUAUUUAAUCUUACCUCACAAUUGCCUCUCUUAAAACUAAUGGUUCCAAUGACUAAGUUCAAGUUCAACUAUUGUAAGCAGUUAGAAACGACAGUUAAUCAUGUCUGUUUACAUUUGUGUUGUUUAGGUAGCAUAAAACAUUGAAUAUUUCAGGAAAGCAGAUUCUUAUUCGCGCAAAGUAAGAGGUCUAUAGAAAUUUAACGAGAUAACUUCUUUGCAGUGAAUUUUCAAAAAUCAAGAAUAAAAUCCAUGAUAUAUCCAGUUGAGUGUACUAGUAUUCGAAAUCUUUGUUGAAUACAUGCUAUGAAUGUUUAUUCUAAAGGUUCUUCACAUGGAGAAAUUUUUUGGAAAACUCUACUAUUUGCACAUAAAAGGGAUAAAGUAACAGCCAGGGAAAAAUUGUAAUGCUGGCACGAAAAAUUUUAUUGGAGAAAGCAUAAAUUAUUCUCCACAUUUCCAUGAAAUUUUCAUGGGAAUUCCGAGAAGUUUUACCACAACAGAACAAGAAUUUUUAAAUCAGUGACUUGUGAUUUUUCCCAGUUCUCUAUAGUGUUUCGAAAAAAUUCUCUCCAUGCAUUAUCAUCCUUUUAGUAACAAAUUCAAUAUUAGUCACUUGUAGAGCAAUAAUUAAAAAAAAUGUAAUAAAGCCUAUUUCUUUGUUAAACAAACUCUUGCAGACAGAAAGUUUUUCUGUUUUUUUUUCUGUAACUAUUUUCCCUCCCGAGUUUUAGAAAAUUUCACUUUAUUCUCUGUCAUUAUCAUAUACUGGGGGAUCUUUUGAGAUCAUUUUUUCAUUCGAAUUAAUCGCAAGCAAACGUUCAUGCUUUACAAAAUCGUGCAAAAAGCUAGGAUAGUAAGCAGAGAAAAGCAUGGUGAGUGUAGGAAUGUCAAGAUAAAGCGUUUUAUUGUAAAAGCCAGCAUUAAACACAUGUAUCAUUAUAGAUAGAUCAUAGAGCAUUGCAUUAUUCAGUAUAAAUCAUGUAUCCAUAACUAUGUGAUCAAUCAAGUUCCCUACUGCAUCAUAGUGAAAGGUUACCAUAAAUGAAAGAAAGCGUAAAGAUAGUAAAAAAAAAAUAGGAAAUCAAAAAGAUGGAGUGCAAAAAAACGUAAUAAA